AACGAACGCUGGCGGCAUGCCUAACACAUGCAAGUCGAACGAAACCUUCAGGUCUUGUGUCGCACGGGUGCGUAACGCGUGGGAACCUGCACUUAUGUUCGGAAUAACUCUCCGAAAGGGGUGCUAAUACCGGACAAUGUCUUCUAACCAAAGAUUUAUCGCCUUUGGAUGUGCGCGCGUUGGAUUAGCUAGUUGUUAUGGUAAUAGCCUACCAAGGCGAAGUUCCAUAGCUGGUCUGAGAGAAUGAUCAGACACACUGGGACUGAGAAACGGCCGAGAAUCCUACGGGAGGGGGGAGAGGGGGAUGUUGCACAGUGGGCGAAAGAGUGAUGCAGUUAUGAAGGGUGAAAGAUGAAGGCCUUAGGGUUGUAAAGCUCUUUUAACUGGGCUGAUAAUGACAGUACCGGGAGAAUAAGCGCCGGCUAACUACGUG
Molecule: ribosomal RNA, 433 nt
Filed under: uncultured bacterium
Lineage: Bacteria
Description: partial 16S ribosomal RNA
Rfam family: Bacterial small subunit ribosomal RNA
Source: RNAcentral